UUAGCGGUGGACCGCCCUGCG
RNAcentral lists this microRNA (21 nucleotides) under Homo sapiens (human). RNAcentral's name for it is "hsa-miR-4321". Lineage: Eukaryota; Metazoa; Chordata; Mammalia; Primates; Hominidae. The record is from miRBase by way of RNAcentral.